UAACUGGGCGUUAAGUUGCAGGGUAUAGACCCGAAACCCGGUGAUCUAGCCAUGGGCAGGUUGAAGGUUGGGUAACACUAACUGGAGGACCGAACCGACUAAUGUUGAAAAAUUAGCGGAUGACUUGUGGCUGGGGGUGAAAGGCCAAUCAAACCGGGAGAUAGCUGGUUCUCCCCGAAAGCUAUUUAGGUAGCGCCUCGUGAACUCAUCUUCGGGGGUAGAGCACUGUUUCGGCUAGGGGGGUCAUCCCGACUUACCAACCCGAUGCAAACUACGAAUACCGAAGAAUGUUAUCACGGGAGACACACGGCGGGUGCUAACGUCCGUCGUGAAGAGGGAAACAACCCAGACCGCCAGCUAAGGUCCCA
Molecule: ribosomal RNA, 368 nt
Filed under: Klebsiella pneumoniae
Lineage: Bacteria; Pseudomonadati; Pseudomonadota; Gammaproteobacteria; Enterobacterales; Enterobacteriaceae
Description: bacterial LSU rRNA
Rfam family: Bacterial large subunit ribosomal RNA
Source: RNAcentral